Molecule: long non-coding RNA, 8462 nt
Organism: Amphiprion ocellaris (clown anemonefish)
Lineage: Eukaryota; Metazoa; Chordata; Actinopteri; Pomacentridae
Exons: 3
Source: RefSeq, a predicted model, not a curated record
CUUCCUGUUGUAGCUUAUACACUCCAUCUAAUUUAAUAUUCAUUAAAUCUGUGUGUAGCGGUAAUAUUUGAACCGUAACAUACACUCGUUUUCAUCAAGCACCUUCUCAGUACUUAAUUCUAAGUUAAUCUGUUAUCUCAGUCCGCUAGCCUAGCACUUAGCUGUUAGCAUGGCUUCUCCCUCUUCCUCUCUGUCUUAUCUCUGUCCGCUAGCCUAGCACUUAGCUGUUAGCAUGGCUUCUCCCUCUUCUUCUUUCCUGCUCAGUGUGUCACAUGGUUAGUUACUCCUCUGCCUCCUUUAGUGAUAACGAUACCUGUAAUAAAUGCAGUCUCUUUGUAGCUUUGGAGGCGAGGCUCUCUGAAUUGGAAGCGCGGCUCCGCACCAUGGAAAACACCCCGCUAGCUGUUAGCCAGGCCCCCUUAGCCGGUGCGGACCGCAAUAGCAUAGCUGCUAGUGUAGCUUCUGCUAGCCGUCCCCUAGCAGCUCCCGAGCAGCGGGGAAGUCAGGGUAGCUGGGUGACAGUUCGUAAGAAACGUAGUCCUAAACUCAAGCCCGCUGCCCCGACCACAAACCGCUUCACGUUUCUAAUCGUUUUUCCUCACUCAACGACACACCCGCUGAGAAACCAACUCUGAUCAUUGGCAGCGCCACAGUCAGAAACGUGAAGCUAGCGACACCAGCGACCAUAGUAAAAUGCCUCCCAGGGGCCAGAGCGGGCGACAUAGAAGCAAAUUUGAAACUGCUGGCUAAAGAUAAUCGUAAAUACAGUCAGACUGUUAUUCAUGUCGGCGGUAAUGACACCCGGUUACGCCAAUCGGAGGUCACCAAAGUUAGUGUGGUAUCGGUGUGUAACUUUGCCAAAACCAUGUCGGACUCCGUAGUUUUCUCUGGACCCCUGCCUGAUCUGACCAGCCAUGAUAUGUUUAGCCGUAUGUCAUCGUUUCGCCGCUGGAUGUCUACGUGGUGUACUGCAAACGACGUUGGCUUUAUAGACAAUUGGAGCUCUUUCUGGGGAAAACCUGGUCUGAUUAGGAGAGACGGCAUCCAUCCCACUUUGGCUGGUGCAACUCUCAUUUCUAGAAAUAUGGCUGAUUUUAUUAGAACUCCUAAAGCAUGACAACCCAGAGUUCAGACCAGGACCUCUUCUGUCCCUCUCAACCCGCCCGGCCAGCAGGCAGAUGGGUCCCCCCACAUUAGAGCCAGGUUCUGCUCGAGGUUUUUUCCUUGUUAAAAGGGUGUUUUACUUGCCACUGUCGCCUUUUGGCUUGCUCUGGGGGUCAGGCAUAUGGGUUCUGUAAAGCGUCUCGAGACAAUGUGACUGUAAUUGGCGCUAUAUAAAUAAAAUUGAAUUGAAAUUGAAUUGAAAGCAACAAAAAGUGCAAAAUAACCAAACAAGUUUGAAUGUCAGGCUCAAGAACAACUACUGCUGUUUAUCGUGUAAUGUGACUGCGGUAUUUUGCAUAUUAGAGAUUACAAUCUGACAAAAACACUGUAAAAUACAACUUUCCCUGACUAUAAUACAUAUUAAGGCUGCGACCACUGUUCCCUCUAAGCUGCGCGCGUGCGCAGUUGCGCACUGCUGACACGGUCUCCGCGCACAGAAAAUCUGCGCUGUGCACAAAAAAAAUAAAAUCCAACCUAAAUUGUAAAUAAAAUAAACACGUAACAAUUCAUUCUGUGCUAUUUUUCAAUGUGAGUCAGUGAGUGACCGGUGACUGGCUGCUGCAGCCAAUGAUGCGAUUCACAUACGUAUUUACCAUAGACUGUAUAUAAUGGUAUUUACGCAGCUAACACAAUUUGACUGUAAUUGGCGCUAUAUAAAUAAAAUUGAAUUGAAAAAAAAAUUGAAUUCCACACAGAGGAGCUGCUGCAGUAAUGUACAGUAUCAGAAAAAGAACGUGUUUUUGGAACAUUAAAGGAUGUAAACAUAUUCUCGUAGACCCCCAAAAUAAAACUAUAAACCUGCGAUUGUGCAGAAUCUGGGCUCUUUAAAUAAUCCUGUUCAGCUUCAUGGCAUCGCAGCAGGCAGGAACUAAGCAGCUACUCUGACAAAAAUACAACAGAAGGAGACAAGAAAAGCAUCAACACUGCCACAAAUAAGCUUCCUCUUCAAAGUGUCUUGGUCUGGCUGUCCUGGUCUCUCAGAUUAUGUCAUAUGUGGCUGCACUUGUUGUGCCAACACUUUGCUUUUGCACAUUUCAUGCAGUAGGCGUCUGCACUGUUUACUAUGAAUUAACUGGAGCAUGUAUAUGCAUGAUAUUUAGAACUAGUGUAGGAGCAAAGGACUCUGAAAAUUCAACCUAAUGAUGUCAGACAUUUAAUCUGUUAAUUAUUUUGUACCAUGUAUGUGCUGUGAGGUGAACUGCUUUGCAGACACAUUUCUUAGACUGUGCUGCACAUUUUCUCGACCAUGAACAAAUAUUGAAAUUUUUUAUUUAUUUUUUUUUAAAGUUUUUGCACCUUUUAAUUUAUUUCUGACAACUCUUUUGGUCAUUCUGUGUCUGUUUGUGGUAAUUUUGCCUUUCAUUGUGGUCCUUUGCUUCCAUGUUGCAGCUUUUUGUGUUUUUAUGUCGUUACUGCAUCACUUUGUGGUCCUGUUGUGCCCUAUUUUGUCAUUUUGGGAUCAUUUUGCAUCUGUUUGUGGUCUUUUGAUUGACUUUAUAGACAAUCGGGGCCCACCAGGAUUAAAUUUAGUGUUUGCAUGGCGCCUGUGUGAAAAUGGUGGGUGUGUAGAGUGGGUCACUGUCCCCGACCCUGCAGGACAGAGCAGGACUGAGCUGUUCUGACCCCAGUCGGGCCCUCGCCGACAUCCAGGGAACAGAAUACGGAGGUCAGAAUUUUCCACAGCAGCGAGGAUGGUUAUAUCAUCAUACGCUCUGCUGCCGCUCCGUCGAGGCCUUGCAGGGCUGCCGGAGGUUCACAGCCAAGUAGAAAGUAUCAGAAGUUUGAGGUUUGCUCUGUUGACAAUUCCAAAGAUUUGAAUAAUGUGGUUUUGAUUGGAGGAAAACAUCUAGUGACAAGCACUGUGGUGCUGUCAGCUGAAAAGCAAGCUCCUUGUCACCGGCACACCCACACCUCUCACACUAACAAGGUUUUCAGACUGAAAAUUACAGAGUGACAAUCAAAUCCUUUCAUCAUCAUGUUUCCAUUCUGAAUAUAUUUACUUUAAAAGCGGGUAGAGAACUAGUGAUGGCGUCAUUAAGCACUCAAUGAAGUUCACUAAUUAUCCCCACAGACGGAUGCUUGGGGCCGGCCUUGGUCUCCACGACGAACUGCUGCAAACCGGAGCAUCUCACUUCCAGAAGUGAUGGCUCUUAACCUUCCAAACAGCGGUGGCUUGAAAUUAAACUGCCCUACACAAACACAAAUACAUCCUGGCAAACACAACACAGACAUCUGUCCUUCCACCCACUUGGCCUCCACCUCCAACAGAAACAGAGACCCGGCAUUACUGAACAAGUGCUGAGUGCUGCUCUCAUUUGCAUAAUUUAAUAGAUUUUUUUUCCGAAAAAUGAGUCACAAAACUAAUCACUAAUAUCCACACACUAUGCCAGUGUUUUAUCAGCAGUCAUCAUUCUAAACCAGACCGGCAGAGGCACAGCACUGCUGUGCUCUUCUGAGUGAUAAAUGACUGUUAAUAUUUAUUUAUAGAAAGUCAAUCAAAAGACCACAAACAGAUGCAAAAUGAUCGUAAAGACACACAAAAAAUGACCAAGGGACAAAAUGUGGCCACAAAGAGGACUAAAAACUUUCACAACAGCAUGCGAAACAGCCACAAAGACAAGAAAAAUGACCACAAACAGACACAAAAUGAUAAACAGAGGAUGGAAAAUGACCAAAAGACACAAAAAUUACCACAAAACACACACCUAAAGACCAUAGCAAGAUGCAAAAUGAUUACACAGAGGAUUAGAAUUAAUACACAAGCGUGCAAAACAGCCACAGAGGCAAGCAAAUGACUACAAAUAGACACAAAAUGACCAGUAGAAGACACAAAAUACCCAGAAAGAGAUGAAAAAUGAUCACAAACUAAAAAUAGUACCAGAACAAGCAAAACCACCAUAGUGACGCACAAAAUGACAAAAAAGACACACAACAGAACAAAAAAUGCACAGUGACAAUAAAAAGGCACCAAAUGACAACAAGGAGAAUUAUAAUUAACACAACCUCAUGCAAAAACAGUUGGAAAAAUAAGCAAAUGACCACAAUGAAACAACAAAAUGACCAGCAACAGGCACAAAAUGACCAAGAGAUGACACAGAUGACCACAAAGAGAUGCAAUAUGAUCAUAGGGGCACAUAAAAAUGACCACAAAAUGAAAGAAAAAGACAACACAAAGAGGACUAAAAUGAUCAAAACAGCAUGCAAGACAGCUACCAAAAUAAACAAAAUCGUCUAAAGAGGAUGCAGAAGGACCUUAAAGUAAAGCACAUAAGGACACAUAAAAAUGACCACAUCAUGCAAAAUAGCCACAAAAAGACACUGAUCUGAUGUUCUCUUAAAUCUGUCUGCUUUGUUUUCAAGUAAAAUGCACAGAUUGUUCAUAUUUUCUUCACUUUUAUUUCUCAUAAACCUACAGAAGCUAUAAACUUCAUCCACAAAGACAUCUUCAACUGAUGGCAAACACUAAGAAUGGACAUAUUUUUUACUUUCCUUUUUGAAUAAACAUGGAAACAGGAGAAGUGUGUUAGUCUCAGUAACUUUUUGAGGAGAGAAGGAUACAACAUGAAACUUAAACCCAAUGAAGGAAGUUAAGGUGCUCAGAUCUGUCAGAGCUUCAGAAGUCUGUCUCUCUUAUUAGAGCUUUUGAGUGCAGACAGCAGCAGUGUGUCAAAUCCUGUUUCCCCAACAUCUCACAGAGACAAACAAACCAAUAACAGCAAAGUUUCAGUUUGGAAUUUCAUCAAGUUAACUAACUCUGCAACUAAGUGAUUAGUUAAAAACCAGGUACCAUGCCAGUCCAACAAGAUUUUCUCUUCGUUUCAGCUCUAACAUUCACUGUGUAAUAGGUCAAAAACAUGUGAAGAAGCAUUAACACAUGAGAGUUGGACACAUAAAUUUGUAAAACCACUGACAAGACAGUUUAAACUCUGGAUCAGAUGUGCUACAUAAUGUAUAUCAGAAAUUGCAGCAUUUGCAAUUUACUAGGCUCUAAGUCAUCCAUUAAAUUUCACUGGAAUAUGCAAGGAAAUGUUUUACUGAAGAGCCCUACAGAGGUCGCACCAGUUAGCUCCAUUUGUUGCCUUCUCACACAUUUUUAAACUUAAUUUGAGGUAUUUAUUUAUAUGCAAUUAGAAGAAACUUGCAGCUCUACACAAAAUGACCACGGAAAGAUACAAAACUACUACAAAGAUGCACAAAACAGGUGCAAAAAUAGAACUGACAACAAGGUGACACAAAACAGCCUCCACAGCCUGCAUUUUAAACUGUCUAAACUCACUUUAAUACAAAAAGACACAAAAGGAUGACAAAAAGAGUUAUAAUUAACACAACAGCAUGCAAAAACAGUUAAAAAGAUGAAGAAAUGAUCACAAAGAAAGGUUAUCUGUUUUUUGUCAGAAGAAGCUCAGUGUCAUCUGAAGCUGUCCGUGGUCCUGAAACUAAACCUGCAGUUGCUUAUUUAUUAAUCAAAUCAUUACAUUUCUCUCAAUAAUAUUGUAAAGUCUUGAUCUUAACAUUUAAAGGUCACUGAAGUCAUCAUUUGUACUUAUUUCUUCUUUUAGUGCUAUAAAUUUGUAAUGUUAGUAUUUUAGUUGGAUUGGAAAGCACUUCUGUUGUUCUAAACUGUGUACAUAAAAGUGACCUGACUGAAUGUAUUUUUCUUUCUUUUCCAGCUGAUCCUAAACUACUAAUUUGUCAUUUUAUGUUAUUUUUUUCUGUGUUGCUGCGUGUUUCCAUGUUGUGUGACAGCAGAAAUCCAUCAAAACCACAAGACGAACUGGGAAGCCUUAAAUUCAUAAUAAAAAGCAGAUGCUGCAAACUUGUCUGAGAGGAAACAGGCAGAAAAGACGAAAAAUAGAUGAUGCUGCUGAGUUGCAUCAUGAUAAGCAUAGGAUGCAAAAUAACAUUUCUGUUUGAAAAUGAGCAGAUUUUUUGUUAGGCAACAGAAAUCAGCUCACUUUCUGACAGAAACACUUCAAAAGGUUCCAGUUGGAGUGAAGCCUCAAAAUAAAAGCACUCCAGUGAUGACGAAGCCAUGUUUCUAACGGAUAGUGAGCUGAAUGCCUUCCUUUGGAGCUUUUCAGGGGUUAUUCAAGACCCCAUGUAAGUGGAUGGAUGGAUGGAUGGAUGGAUAGAUGGAUGGAUGGAUGGAUGGAUGGAUGGAUGGACGAAUGGAUGGAUGGAUGAUGGAUGGAUGGAUAGAUGAAUGGAUGGAUGAUGGAUGGACGGACAGAUGGGAUGGAUGAAUGGAUGGAUGGAUGGAUGAUGGAUGGAUGGAUAGAUGGAUGGAUGAUGGAUGGACGGACGGACGGAUGGGAUGGGAUGGAUGAAUGGAUGAAUGGAUGAUAGAUGAAUGGAUGGAUGGAUGGAUGGAUGGACGGACGGGAUGGGAUGGAUGAAUGGAUGAAUGGAUGAUAGAUGAAUGGAUGGAUGGAUGGAUGGAUAGAUGAAUGGAUGGAUGGAAUGGACGAAUGGACGAAUGGACGGAUGGAAUGGACAAAUGGAUGGAUGGAUGGAUGGAUGGAUGGAUGAUGGAUGAAUGAAUGGAUGGAAUGGAUGGAUGGAUGGAUGGAUGGAUGGACAGACAGAGGGACAAAUUAUUAAAGAGGGACUUCAGCAGUUUAAUAUUGCACCUGACUAAAUUUUCAAGUCACAGUUUUUUAUACAUUUAAUUUAUCUCCACCUCUACACCUCUAUCUCUACCCCUCUACCUCUUCCCCUCUACCUCCAUCCCUCUAUCUCUACCUCUCUACCUCUUCUGUCCCUCUCAACCCGCCCGGCCAGCAGGCAGAUGGGUCCCCCCACAUUAGAGCCAGGUUCUGCUCGAGGUUUUUUCCCUGUUAAAAGGGUGUUUUCCUUGCCACUGUCGCCUUUUGGCUUACUCUGGGGGUCAGGCAUAUGGGUUCUGUAAAGCGUCUCGAGACAAUGUGACUGUAAUUGGCGCUAUAUAAAUAAAAUUGAAUUGAAAUUGAAUUGAAAGCAACAAAAAGUGCAAAAUAACCAAACAAGUUUGAAUGUCAGGCUCAAGAACAACUACUGCUGUUUAUCGUGUAAUGUGACUGCGGUAUUUUGCAUAUUAGAGAUUACAAUCUGACAAAAACACUAUAAAAUACAACUUUCCCUGACUAUAAUACAUAUUAAGGCUGCGACCACUGUUCCCUCUAAGCUGCGCGCGUGCGCAGUUGCGCACUGCUGACACGGUCUCCGCGCACAGAAAAUCUGCGCUGUGCACAAAAAAAAUAAAAUCCAACCUAAAUUGUAAAUAAAAUAAACACGUAACAAUUCAUUCUGUGCUAUUUUUCAGUGUGAGUCAGUGAGUGACCGGUGACUGGCUGCUGCAGCCAAUGAUGCGAUUCACAUACGUAUUUACCAUAGACUGUAUAUAAUGGUAUUUACGCAGCUAAUCAACGUCAUUGACAGGCGUCCUUAUGUGCAGCCAUCGUUGUUGUCAUAGAUAUGAAUGAGUAGAUAAGACACGCCCCUUUGAGCUGCGGCUACAGCGAGGCUAAGCUAGUGGGGGGAAAGUUUCAGUGCAUUCCGUUGAUGUAGACGGUGUGAAAACGGAAACAAGUAUGCCGGCUCACUGUGCUGCAUACAAUUACACACUGCGUCGUACGAUUGAGACAAGGAAACUUGGAAUGACUUUUCAUAGGUUUCCCAGAGACUAUGGGUUGAGGAGGAAUUGGAAGUUUGUCAGCUUAGACCUGGUGUCAUUCCAUCAGUGUUAAACUUCCCGGCUCAUCUUGGAAGAGUACGUGCCAGAAAGACCACGACCAAGCAGCCUUGAGAUCUUAGGCAGCGUCUCCCUGAGGUCCUUCUCUAUCUCCCCACACAUCCACCAACCACUGGAACACAUCUCCAAAGUUCUGCCGGGCCAGCUCAGCUUCCCCUCAGAAGAAGUGCCACCAGAUGAAGGAGCCUUUUGAGAGGCAGCUGGCAUCGUGAUUGGACUGUACUUUGGUCUGUUCCAAUCCAGCUUCAGCUCCAGAGACGGAAGGCGGGACGACUCAACGGAGGCCGGGUGGACGAAGGCAUGCAGCUGAGUACGAUCCAGAAAACAACAGAGGAGGAGUGCAGGGCCAGAACAACCAGAGUAGCAUCGUAUGUCUCUUAGAAAACAUCAUAGUAGAGCCUUUGGCAUGAAAAAAUGCCAUCAUAUACAUCAUAUAUUAUACAAAUAACAAGUCAAAGGAAAGAGACAUACAUUGUAGAAUUGUAGUAAUUGUGGGCUGACUGAUUUACUGAUUAUCAGUAUUAUAUUUUUUACUGAUUUACGAUAAUAAAUACAUUUAAAAAUGGUG